CAGUAGCCGCGGUAAUACGUAGGUGGCAAGCGUUGUCCGGAAUUAUUGGGCGUAAAGGGCUCGCAGGCGGUUUCUUAAGUCUGAUGUGAAAGCCCCCGGCUCAACCGGGGAGGGUCAUUGGAAGCUGGGAAACUUGAGUGCAGAAGAGGAGAGUGGAAUUCCACGUGUAGCGGUGAAAUGCGUAGAGAUGUGGAGGAACACCAGUGGCGAAGGCGACUCUCUGGUCUGUAACUGACGCUGAGGAGCGAAAGCGUGGGGAGCGAACAGGAUUAGAUACCCCCGUAGUCCCUGUCUCUUAUAC
Molecule: ribosomal RNA, 301 nt
Filed under: uncultured bacterium
Lineage: Bacteria
Description: partial 16S ribosomal RNA
Rfam family: Bacterial small subunit ribosomal RNA
Source: RNAcentral